UACGUAGGGGGCAAGCGUUGUUCGGAAUUACUGGGCGUAAAGGGCGCGUAGGCGGCACGACAAGUCGGGAGUGAAAGCCCGGGGCUCAACCCCGGAACGGCUCCGGAAACUGUCGAGCUAGAGUGCGGAAGAGGCAACUGGAAUUCCCAGUGUAGCGGUGAAAUGCGUAGAUAUUGGGAAGAACACCUGAGGCGAAGGCGGGUUGCUGGGCCGACACUGACGCUGAUGCGCGAAAGCCAGGGGAGCGAACGGG
RNAcentral lists this ribosomal RNA (253 nucleotides) under uncultured bacterium. RNAcentral's name for it is "partial 16S ribosomal RNA". It matches the Rfam family "Bacterial small subunit ribosomal RNA", at positions 524 to 776 of the family's 1533-position model. The record is from RNAcentral.